GUGGGGAAUCUUGCGCAAUGGGCGAAAGCCUGACGCAGCGACGCCGCGUGAGGGAGGAAGGCCUUCGGGUUGUAAACCUCUUUCAGGAGGGACGAAGCUACUCGGGUGAAUAGCCCAGAGGGUGACGGUACCUCCAGAAGAAGCCCCGGCUAACUACGUGCCAGCAGCCGCGGUAAUACGUAGGGGGCAAGCGUUGUCCGGAUUUACUGGGCGUAAAGAGCGUGUAGGCGGCCAUACAGGUCCGUUGUGAAAACUGGAGGCUUAACCUUCAGACGUCGACGGAAACCGUGUGGCUAGAGUCCGGAAGAGGAGAGUGGAAUUCCUGGUGUAGCGGUGAAAUGCGCAGAUAUCAGGAAGAACACCAAUGGCGAAGGCAGCUCUCUGGGACGGUACUGACGCUGAGACGCGAAAGCGUGGGGAGCGAACAGGAUUAGAAACCCUAGUAGUCC
Molecule: ribosomal RNA, 449 nt
Filed under: uncultured bacterium
Lineage: Bacteria
Description: bacterial SSU rRNA
Rfam family: Bacterial small subunit ribosomal RNA
Source: RNAcentral